UUUACGGAUUCUUUUUUUUUCUUCUAGCCAAUCGAAAGAGAAGAAAAACCUUUCAAGCCACUUAUCAUACCCCAAAAACUACAAAAAGCCCUACCCUACAGGGAUAAACCAAAACAUGGCGUUAAGCUUUCGGAGAAGAAGAAGAGCAUUGAAAGGGUGGCUGUCAUUCGUGAACCCCAAGAGCAAAAGAUUUCUUCAAUGAUGAAAAUGUUGAGGGCGUCUUACGAACAGAAACAGAACAAACUCAAAAUGGAGACCAAGAGUAGGAUGGAAAAACAUAGACAGGAAGUGGAAGCCUUAGAAGCAUUCAAGGACAAGAAGCUGAAGGAAAAGAAAAAAGAGCUAUUCAAGAACAGAAGUAAAGCUCAAAAUAAAGAUAAAGGGAAAUAAUCAGGGAUAUAUUAGUGGUCAAAAAGUGUCUCAAGUGAUAUGGGUAUUUCUUAAUUAUUUCCAAUUUAUAUUUUGGCUGGAUGGAACUUCAAUGUUCUGUGUCACAUCGUUAAUGUUACUUUUUAUUACCAAUAAAAAUAAUGGAGAAUGUUA
This is a long non-coding RNA of Leptinotarsa decemlineata (Colorado potato beetle), 543 nucleotides long. NCBI's taxonomy places the organism in Eukaryota, Metazoa, Arthropoda, Insecta, Coleoptera, Chrysomelidae. The record is from RefSeq and is a predicted model, not a curated record.